Long non-coding RNA from Cyprinus carpio (common carp), 949 nucleotides. The record is from Ensembl. NCBI's taxonomy places the organism in Eukaryota, Metazoa, Chordata, Actinopteri, Cypriniformes, Cyprinidae.
ACGGCACGCCAGUGCGCAAAGGUAAGCGAGCGCUUCUCAGCACGCACGAUCACCGGAUCGUGCGGUAUUGAUGAGUGAUUGGUGAUCUAUCAGCAUGUCGCUGUACGCGUCUCAGAUUAAAGCGUUUAAGAGCGCGGAGCCCAAGACACUUGGCGCUAUUGAGAUCAUAAUUGGUGUGUUUACUGUCAUUCUGAGCACAAUUGUGUAUAAGCUGCACUACCAUAUCCAGCGUGAAAUCAUCAUCCUCAUCAUCAACGGUGCUCAGCUUGUCAUAACUGGUGUUGUCCUGGUGCACACUGGGAGGAAACCAUCUAAAUGUCUGGUGCUGACAACAUUUGUUCUGCAGUUACUAACAGCAGCAUUUGAUAUUGUUGGAUUUGGGCUGAUGGCCAGACACAUCCCAUUCAGAGGAGACUCGUACUACUACAGGGACACAGAGUUCUUAGUGAAUGGGAUCUUGGUGACACUGAUCGGUUUCCUGAUGCUAGCAUGUGCCAUUGGUUUGGUUGUUUCUCUUUUUGGGGUCUACGCCCUUUCUGUUAGUGCCAUAAAGGUACGUAUUUUAGCAUUGCUCGCAAUAUCUGAGAAUUAUGUUCUGUUUAAGGUAUCUAUUAAUGUUCUAAGGCUAAUUUGUAAUGAAACUGAUUAUCCAACUGACUGUUUACCCUCAGGAGCUGACUCCUAUCCCUCACUCUACACCAAACCAGCAUUAUGUUGAUGGCGUUCAGACCCAGAAAACGAUCCAUGCCGGAAACUGACAAAAUAAGAGGCAGAAGGGCACAGUUUUAGCACAGUUUUUCACCAACUGCAAAAGAGGACUGUUUCACCUACAAACCACUCACAGGUAACCAACCACAACCACAGGAAAAAAAAAAAAAAACCUUUUGUGAAGUUGUAAAUAAUUUUUUUUUUAAAUAAAAUGGAUAAAAUCUCAUUUUUUGCUUGGCUG